This 253-nucleotide ribosomal RNA is filed under the name uncultured bacterium. RNAcentral's name for it is "partial 16S ribosomal RNA". It matches the Rfam family "Bacterial small subunit ribosomal RNA", at positions 524 to 776 of the family's 1533-position model. The record is from RNAcentral.
UACGGGGGGGGCAAGCGUUGUUCGGACUUACUGGGCGUAAAGGGCUUGUAGGUGGCCAACUAAGUCAGACGUGAAAUCCCUCGGCUUAACCGGGGAACUGCGUCUGAUACUGGAUGGCUUGAGUUCGGGAGAGGGAUGCGGAAUUCCAGGUGUAGCGGUGAAAUGCGUAGAUAUCUGGAGGAACACCGGUGGCGAAGGCGGCAUCCUGGACCGAUACUGACGCUGAGGAGCGAAAGCCAGGGGAGCAAACAGG